This 449-nucleotide ribosomal RNA is filed under the name uncultured bacterium. RNAcentral's name for it is "bacterial SSU rRNA". It matches the Rfam family "Bacterial small subunit ribosomal RNA", at positions 329 to 792 of the family's 1533-position model. The record is from RNAcentral.
UCCCAGACUCCUACGGGAGGCAGCAGUGGGGAAUAUUGGACAAUGGGGGGAACCCUGAUCCAGCGACGCCGCGUGAGUGAAGAAGUAUUUCGGUAUGUAAAGCUCUAUCAGCAGGGAAGAAAGAAAUGACGGUACCUGACUAAGAAGCCCCGGCUAACUACGUGCCUGCAGCCGCGGUAAUACGUAGGGGGCAAGCGUUAUCCGGAUUUACUGGGUGUAAAGGGGGCGCAGACGGCGAUGCAAGCCAGGAGUGAAAGCCCGGGGCCCAACCCCGGGACUGCUCUUGGAACUGCGUGGCUGGAGUGCAGGAGGGGCAGGCGGAAUUCCUGGUGUAGCGGUGAAAUGCGUAGAUAUCAGGAGGAACACCGGUGGCGAAGGCGGCCCGCUGGACUGCAACUGACGUUGAGGCCCGAAAGCGUGGGGAGCAAACAGGAUUAGAUACCCCUGUA